This 253-nucleotide ribosomal RNA is filed under the name uncultured bacterium. RNAcentral's name for it is "partial 16S ribosomal RNA". It matches the Rfam family "Bacterial small subunit ribosomal RNA", at positions 524 to 776 of the family's 1533-position model. The record is from RNAcentral.
UACGAAGGGGGCUAGCGUUGUUCGGAAUUACUGGGCGUAAAGCGCACGUAGGCGGAUCUUUAAGUCAGAGGUGAAAUCCCAAGGCUCAACCUUGGAACUGCCUUUGAUACUGGGGAUCUUGAGUCCGGAAGAGGUGAGUGGAACUGCGAGUGUAGAGGUGAAAUUCGUAGAUAUUCGCAAGAACACCAGUGGCGAAGGCGGCUCACUGGACCGGCAUUGACGCUGAGGUGCGAAAGCGUGGGGAGCAAACAGG